This 470-nucleotide ribosomal RNA is filed under the name Bacteroidetes bacterium oral taxon 272. RNAcentral describes it as "bacterial SSU rRNA". It matches the Rfam family "Bacterial small subunit ribosomal RNA", at positions 28 to 488 of the family's 1533-position model. The record is from RNAcentral. Lineage: Bacteria; Pseudomonadati; Bacteroidota.
GAUGAACGCUAGCUACAGGCUUAACACAUGCAAGUCGUGGGGCAUCAUGAUGUAGUAAUACAUUGAUGGCGACCGGCGCACGGGUGAGUAACGCGUAUCCAACCUACCCUCCACUCAAGUAUAGGCUUCCGAAAGGGAGAUUAAUCCUUGAUAUCGUCAUUCUCUCUCCUGUUAGAAUGAUAAAAGGACAUCGUUUCGGUAGAGGAUGGGGAUGCGUUCCAUUAGGUAGUAGGUGGUUUAACAGGCCACCUAGCCGAUGAUGGAUAGGGGUUCUGAGAGGAAUAUCCCCCACACUGGUACUGAGAUACGGACCAGACUCCUACGGGAGGCAGCAGUGAGGAAUAUUGGUCAAUGGGCGCAAGCCUGAACCAGCCAUGUAGCGUGAAGGAUGACGGUUUUUUUGAUUGUAAACUUCUUUUCUGUGCGAUUAAAGUGUGGCAUUUAUGCCAUAUUGCAGUAUCUCAGGAUAG